Long non-coding RNA from Macaca mulatta (Rhesus monkey), 840 nucleotides. RefSeq lists it as uncharacterized. Lineage: Eukaryota; Metazoa; Chordata; Mammalia; Primates; Cercopithecidae. The record is from RefSeq and is a predicted model, not a curated record.
UUUGAUCUGAAACCCAGGACGGGUGUUGGGGGCAGAGACUCUCUUGCAACCCAGGAACCAAUGGACAAUGGCAGUGCAUCCUGAGUUAACUCCCGGAUCCUGAGGGUCUCUGGCCACCCUCCCAGUCUUUUCUUUCACUUCAAUUUUCUAGUGAUUUGCAUGAGGAGGACAACUGACUUGAAGGGGACUGCAAGGCUCAGGCUGGGGCUACUCCCCCAUGAGCUUUCAAAACCCUCAGGUCUCAGGAAUUUACCUCCGACCGCCUGUAACAGGUAUUUCACUCCCUAACCCUUGCUCCUUCUUCCUCCUUCUUCUUUCUCUCUCUCUCUCUGUCUCCUCUCUCUCUCUCUCUCUCUCUUGCUCUCUCGCUCUCUUGCUCUCUCUCUCUCUCUUCCUUGUGUGGCUCCAGUCUGGGAGGCCCCUUGCUGAUUCCAACCGGAACAUCCAACAUCGGACACUAAUUCAGCUGACUGGAGGAAAUCUCUUCACUGCUGGUGCUGACAACAGAAGACUGAAAGUGACCGGGAUCCUUCGCCUCCACGCCUAGUGAGUCCACGGAACUCAGGGUAAUUAGGACGGUGUCCGGUUCACUAAGAUAGGGAAGCUAAAGACAGACUCAGGAUGCCUGCAGCUGCAGAAAGAUGUAUUGGAACAGACACACAACUCUCCUUCCCAGAUAAGCACAACACAGAGACACAGAAGCAGUCCAAGCCUCUGAUAAACUCUCCCACCUUAAAUCUUUGAAAACUCUUAGUCUGUAAGAGAGUGUGGCUCUGACCUAACUCAAAAGGGUCAGAAGUCCCUCCCAGGUUUAAAAUAAAUCGGUUGACUGUCUAGCCA